AGAGUUUGAUCCUGGCUCAGAACUAACGCUUGUGGCGUGUCUUAGUCAUGCAAGUCGAACGAGAAAGCCCUCUUCGGAGGGUGAGUAGAGUGGCGAACGGGUGAGUAACACGUGGGUAACCUGCCUCUGAGUCGGGGAUAACACUCCCAACGGAGUGCUAAUACCGGAUGAAAAAUCGCAACGCAAGUUGUCGCUUUUAAAGGUGGCCUCUGCUUGCAAGCUGCUGCUCAGAGAUGGGCCCGCGCCGCAUUAGCUAGUUGGUGAGGUAACGGCUCACCAAGGCGAUGAUGCGUAGCCGGCCUGAGAGGGCGAUCGGCCACACUGGAACUGAGACAAGGUCCAGUCCCCUACGGGGGCCAGCAGUCUAGAAACUUGCACAAUCGACGAAAGUCGGAUGCAGCGACGCCACGUGGAGGAUGAAGCCCCUCGGGGUGUAAACUCCUGUCAGGAGGGAAGAAGGCGCGAGCGAUAACACCGCUUGCUGCUUGACGGUACCUUCAAAGGAAGCUCCGGCUAACUACGUGCCAGCAGCCGCGGUAAUACGUAGGGAGCGAGCGUUGUUCGGAUUUACUGGGCGUAAAGGGCAGGUAGGCGGGUGCGCAAGUCGGUUGUGAAAUCCUCUGGCUUAACCAGAGAACUGCAGCCGAAACUGCAUACCUUGAGUCCAGCAGAGGGAAUCGGAAUCCUAGGUGUAGCGGUGAAAUGCAGAUAUCUAGGAGAACACCAGUGGCGAAGGCGGAUUCCUGGGCUGGCACUGACGCUGAGCUGCGAAAGCGUGGGUAGCGAACAGGAUUAGAUACCCUGGUAGUCCACGCCGUAAACGAUGGGUACUAGGUGUUGGAGGAUAUUGACCCCUUCAGUGCCGCAGCUAACGCACUAAGUACCCCGCCUGGGGAGUACGGCCGCAAGGCUGAAACUCAAAGGAAUUGACGGGGACCCGCACAAGCAGUGGAGCAUGUGGCUCAAUUCGAGGCAACGCGAAGGACCUUACCUGGGCUUGACAUCUGGGGAAUUCUCUGGAAACAGAGAAGUGCCUUCGGGAGCCCCAAGACAGGUGCUGCAUGGCUGUCGUCAGCUCGUGUCGUGAGAUGUUGGGUUAAGUCCCACAACGAGCGCAACCCCUGUCCUUAGUUGCCAGCGGGUAAUGCCGGGAACUCUAGGGAGACUGCCUGUAACAAGCAGGAGGAAGGUGGGGAUGACGUCAAGUCAUCAUGGCUCUUACGUCCAGGGCUGCACACGUGCUACAAUGGCCGGCACAAAGGGUUGCGAUGCCGUGAGGUGGAGCCAAUCCCAAAAAAACCGGUCUCAGUUCGGAUUGAAGUCUGCAACUCGACUUCAU
This 1339-nucleotide ribosomal RNA is filed under the name metagenome. RNAcentral's name for it is "bacterial SSU rRNA". It matches the Rfam family "Bacterial small subunit ribosomal RNA", at positions 8 to 1321 of the family's 1533-position model. The record is from RNAcentral.